AGAGUUUGAUCCUGGCUCAGAGUGAACGCUGGCGGCGUGCCUAAUACAUGCAAGUCGAACGAUGAAAUUUCUAGCUUGCUAGAAAUGGAUUAGUGGCGCACGGGUGAGUAACGCAUAGGUUAUGUGCCUCUUAGUUUGGGAUAGCCAUUGGAAACGAUGAUUAAUACCAGAUACUCCCUACGGGGGAAAGAUUUAUCGCUAAGAGAUCAGCCUAUGUCCUAUCAGCUUGUUGGUAAGGUAAUGGCUUACCAAGGCUAUGACGGGUAUCCGGCCUGAGAGGGUGAACGGACACACUGGAACUGAGACACGGUCCAGACUCCUACGGGAGGCAGCAGUAGGGAAUAUUGCUCAAUGGGGGAAACCCUGAAGCAGCAACGCCGCGUGGAGGAUGAAGGUUUUAGGAUUGUAAACUCCUUUUGUUAGAGAAGAUAAUGACGGUAUCUAACGAAUAAGCACCGGCUAACUCCGUGCCAGCAGCCGCGGUAAUACGGAGGGUGCAAGCGUUACUCGGAAUCACUGGGCGUAAAGAGCGCGUAGGCGGGAUAGUCAGUCAGGUGUGAAAUCCUAUGGCUUAACCAUAGAACUGCAUUUGAAACUACUAUUCUAGAGUGUGGGAGAGGUAGGUGGAAUUCUUGGUGUAGGGGUAAAAUCCGUAGAGAUCAAGAGGAAUACUCAUUGCGAAGGCGACCUGCUAGAACAUUACUGACGCUGAUUGUGCGAAAGCGUGGGGAGCAAACAGGAUUAGAUACCCUGGUAGUCCACGCCCUAAACGAUGGAUGCUAGUUGUUGGAGGGCUUAGUCUUUCCAGUAAUGCAGCUAACGCAUUAAGCAUCCCGCCUGGGGAGUACGGUCGCAAGAUUAAAACUCAAAGGAAUAGACGGGGACCCGCACAAGCGGUGGAGCAUGUGGUUUAAUUCGAAGAUACACGAAGAACCUUACCUAGGCUUGACAUUGAGAGAAUCCGCUAGAAAUAGUGGAGUGUCUAGCUUGCUAGACCUUGAAAACAGGUGCUGCACGGCUGUCGUCAGCUCGUGUCGUGAGAUGUUGGGUUAAGUCCCGCAACGAGCGCAACCCCCUUUCUUAGUUGCUAACAGGUCAUGCUGAGAACUCUAAGGAUACUGCCUCCGUAAGGAGGAGGAAGGUGGGGACGACGUCAAGUCAUCAUGGCCCUUACGCCUAGGGCUACACACGUGCUACAAUGGGGUGCACAAAGAGAAGCAAUACUGCGAAGUGGAGCCAAUCUUCAAAACACCUCUCAGUUCGGAUUGUAGGCUGCAACUCGCCUGCAUGAAGCUGGAAUCGCUAGUAAUCGCAAAUCAGCCAUGUUGCGGUGAAUACGUUCCCGGGUCUUGUACUCACCGCCCGUCACACCAUGGGAGUUGUGUUUGCCUUAAGUCAGGAUGCUAAACCAGCUACUGCCCACGGCACACACAGCGACUGGGGUGAAGUCGUAACAAGGUAACCGUAGGUGAACCUGCGGUUG
RNAcentral lists this ribosomal RNA (1483 nucleotides) under Helicobacter pylori SA34C. Its description in RNAcentral is "bacterial SSU rRNA". It matches the Rfam family "Bacterial small subunit ribosomal RNA". Lineage: Bacteria; Pseudomonadati; Campylobacterota; Epsilonproteobacteria; Campylobacterales; Helicobacteraceae. The record is from RNAcentral.